AGGAAAAGGCAGAGAAGGGCCUCUCAGGGAGGUGAGGUCACAGGAGUGAGGGCCCAGAAGGCACAGUGGGCAGACCCUUGUGUUGGGGACUCAGGGAAGGUCUCAGUGGGGUGCCCGGCUGGAGGGGUCUGGGCCUGGGCCCGCACAGAAGAUCCCCUACUCCUGCCCCAGGACUUGAGGCGUGGGCCUUAUGAAUCAGCAGCUGGGACUGCAGCCAGAGGAAGGAUGCCUCUCUGUCCCUGGCAGGGUAGGGCAGGGCUGGGAGAAAUCUCCCAAUUAUAAAUUUAAGAAAACACAAGUCAAGCAGCUGAGGGCUCCGUUCCUACCACUCAAGCCCCACACCCAGCUCCCCGGGAGCCCAGCUGCUGAGGGCACCUCCAGCAGGUCCGAGACACAGACCAGCCUCCUCUGCAGGGGACGACGGGAAGGGGGGUGCAGCACGGUCACCUGGGAUGGCACCAGCCCCGCUGACUCAAACCCUAGGACUCCAGGAACUUCUCAGAGGAGAGGAACAAAUGGGUUCUGUGGAGGCAUUUUCCUCACAGAAGGACCAAGAACACUGGUUGUGGAGUCAGAAGACCAGAGUUCAGAUCUUAAUCUUCCACGGUUGCCAACAGACUCGUGCUCAGGGGCAGGAAGUGCCAGAAGUGGACACAGAAAGGAAGAGAGGAAACCCAUCCACUGGAAAGCCUCCGCAGUCGGGGGCUCUUCGGUGAGGGGACCAAGAACCUCACUUACCCUGACUCCCCCUGAAAACACCAUUGCAUCGCGGUAGAGUCACUUUUCUCCAUAACGACAAUCCAAGACAUGGUGCCAAGGCGAAAAGCACAUUUACCGUAUUGUUCUCUAGGCAGAGAAAUAAACAGAAGACUGCAGACGCUCACGUGACUUGCUCAUUCACUGCUGAAGGAAGUUCUCCGGGGCAGGUCGGCCCCUGAAGAAAGGCCUAUAGUUCUUCGAGGGUCAGUGCAACUCAGGAGGUGCCCAAGAGGGACUCUGAGUGCGGCCACGGGUCAGGCCAAGCUCGCCAGCGUGGUUACUGGUAACGAGGGAGGAGUUCUGCUCUCUGGGGUCCAGCUCUCAAGCAGUUCAAGACCCCAGGAGAGGAAAAGAGAAGAAAUUAUGUAGUGGCCAUCUAAAGCUUAAGAAUAGCUACGGUUACCAUUAAAGAAAAAACUUUAAAGGGGUGCGGCCCAGUUACCCGGAAAGAGUCGAUUCAUUCCUUCUAUGAUACCAGAUAAAGAGAUAGUUUACUUCCUUUCCUGUUUCAAGAGGGCCCCCAGCCCUCAGAUUCCAGGAAAUUGGCAGUAACUCUGUCCAUAGCUGCAGUUUCCUUACUUUUAGUGACAGCCCCUUGGGCUGCUUAAACAACGGCCCCCCUCUGAGAGCUGGGGGACACUGUCUGGCAGGGCUGUCCCAGGGAAGCAGGCCUGGGGAGGCCUUGGUGGCCCACAUCUGCCACCUGAUCUGACCGGCAAAGGAGACCUAACCCAGCGGAAGCUCCCAACUCCCUCAGAGUUCACGCCAAGGUAGCCCUUAGAGAAGAAACAAUGAGGCCAUCCUAACCUUCAACAUUCAGAGGGCAUUCUCACAACCGCUAUUUUUCUGUGUGGCAG
Equus asinus (donkey) is the source of this 1616-nucleotide long non-coding RNA. NCBI's taxonomy places the organism in Eukaryota, Metazoa, Chordata, Mammalia, Perissodactyla, Equidae. The record is from Ensembl.